GAUGAGAACGUAGUGAAAUGCGAUAAGUAAUGUGAAUUGCAGAAUUCAGUGAAUCAUCGAAUCUUUGAACGCACAUUGCGCCCCUUGGUAUUCCGAGGGGCAUGCCUGUUCGAGCGUCAUUAUAACCCCUCAAGCUCAGCUUGGUGUUGGGGCCUGCUGCACUGGCAGCCCUUAAAAUCAGUGGCGGCGCCAUCUGGCUCUAAGCGUAGUAAUUCUUCUCGCUAUGGAGUCCUGGUGGAUGCUUGCCAUCAACCCCCAAUUUUUCUAUGGUUGACCUCGGAUCAGGUAGGGAUACCCGCUGAACUUAAGCAUAUCAAUAAGCGGAGGA
This 328-nucleotide unclassified non-coding RNA is filed under the name soil metagenome. RNAcentral describes it as "partial contains 5.8S ribosomal RNA, internal transcribed spacer 2, and large subunit ribosomal RNA". The stretch from base 5 to 119 matches the Rfam family "5.8S ribosomal RNA", at positions 40 to 154 of the family's 154-position model. The record is from RNAcentral.